This 423-nucleotide ribosomal RNA is filed under the name uncultured bacterium. RNAcentral's name for it is "partial 16S ribosomal RNA". It matches the Rfam family "Bacterial small subunit ribosomal RNA", at positions 359 to 774 of the family's 1533-position model. The record is from RNAcentral.
GAAUCUUGGCCAAUGGGCGAAAGCCUGAUCCAGCAAUGCCGCCUGCAGGAUGAAGGCCUUCGGGUUUUAAACUGCUUUUGUUCGGAACGAAAACCUUUCGGUUAAUACCCUGGAGUCAUUACGGUACCGUAAGAUUAAGCACCGGCCAACAACUUUCCAGCAGCCGCGGUAACACGUAGGGAGAAAGCGUUAAUCGGAAUUACUGGGCGUAAAGCGUGCGCAGGCGAUUUUGUAAGACAGAGGUGAAAUCCCCGGGCUCAACCUGGGAACUGCCUUUGUGACUGCAAGGCUAGAGUACGGCAGAGGGGGGUGGAAUUCCGCGUGUAGCAGUGAAAUGCGUAGAUAUGCGGAGGAACACCGAUGGCGAAGGCAACCCCCUGGGCCUGUACUGACGCUCAUGCACGAAAGCGUGGGGAGCAAACA